Molecule: ribosomal RNA, 458 nt
Filed under: uncultured bacterium
Lineage: Bacteria
Description: bacterial SSU rRNA
Rfam family: Bacterial small subunit ribosomal RNA
Source: RNAcentral
UACGGAAGGCAGCAGUGGGGAAUAUUGCACAAUGGGCGAAAGCCUGAUGCAGCUACGCCGCGUGUAUGAAGAAGGCCUUAGGGGUUGUAAAGUACUUUCAUCGGGGAGGAAAAAACAAAACUAAUAAUUUUAUUUCUUGACGUUACCCGAAAAAGAAGCACCGGCUAACUCCGUGCCAGCAGCCGCGGUAAUACGGAGGGUGCUAGCGUUAAUCAGAAUUACUGGGCGUAAAGAGCACGUAGGUGGUUUUUUUAAGUCAGAUGUGAAAUCCCUGGGCUUAACCUAGGAACUGCAUUUUGAAACUGAAAUACUAGAGUAUCGUAGAGGGAGGUAGAAUUCUAGGUGUAGCGGUGAAAUGCGUAGAUAUCUGGAGGAAUACCUGUGGCGAAAGCGGCCUCCUAAACGAAUACUGACACUGAGGGUGCGAAAGCGUGGGGAGCAAACAGGGAUUAGAUACC